GAUGAACGCUGGCGGCGUGCCUAAUACAUGCAAGUCGAGCGAACGGACGAGAAGCUUGCUUCUCUGAUGUUAGCGGCGGACGGGUGAGUAACACGUGGAUAACCUACCUAUAAGACUGGGAUAACUUCGGGAAACCGGAGCUAAUACCGAAUGAUAUUUUGAACCGCAUGGUUCAAAAGUGAAAGACGGUCUUGCUGUCACUUAUAGAUGGAUCCGCGCUGCAUUAGCUAGUUGGUAAGGUAACGGCUUACCAAGGCAACGAUGCAUAGCCGACCUGAGAGGGUGAUCGGCCACACUGGAACUGAGACACGGUCCAGACUCCUACGGGAGGCAGCAGUAGGGAAUCUUCCGCAAUGGGCGAAAGCCUGACGGAGCAACGCCGCGUGAGUGAUGAAGGUCUUCGGAUCGUAAAACUCUGUUAUUAGGGAAGAACAUAUGUGUAAGUAACUGUGCACAUCUUGACGGUACCUAAUCAGAAAGCCACGGCUAACUACGUG
Molecule: ribosomal RNA, 497 nt
Filed under: uncultured bacterium
Lineage: Bacteria
Description: partial 16S ribosomal RNA
Rfam family: Bacterial small subunit ribosomal RNA
Source: RNAcentral